Molecule: long non-coding RNA, 1168 nt
Filed under: Mytilus galloprovincialis (Mediterranean mussel)
Lineage: Eukaryota; Metazoa; Mollusca; Bivalvia; Mytilida; Mytilidae
Source: RNAcentral
GUGUUGAUAGAUAAAGUAACAAAAACGCAGUAAAUGGAGAAUUGCGGACGAGUACGGUAAUAUGAAGAAGGAAAAAAAACGUUUUUAUGACAACAGCUCCAUCUAGCGUUUCGUCUGUGCUGUAACAAUGAUGUAGUGAUUCAGGUCAAUAAAUAAGAAGAAUAAUUUUUCCCUUAUUUUUAAUGCAUAUUUUAACAACAAUUACAGCUGAGAGUCGCCAUUUAAUUAUUCAGACGAUAAGGCACCGAUCAUUCAUCAUGAGUGGGGGAGCAUGCUCUUUUCCAGGGAAGUAAUAAUAAAUAAAAAAAAAAUAAAAAAAUGUAUAUACUUUAUUCUUAAUUGGAUAUAUGAACCAGAUAUUUUUUAAUUCAAAUAUUGAAAGCAUUUAUAUUUAUUAUUUUCAAUGGAUACAAAAAAGAAUUGUUUACAUCCCUUUGGAAACAGAUAAUAUUUAAAUAAGAAAAUUUAAAAUCAAACAAUCUAUUCAAAAUAAAGAAAAAAUAAUGAUCCCCUCCCCCACACAAAAAAAAUGAAUGGUUGGUGCCUAAAAGUAUGUUUAACAUACAAUGCAUUUGGUAAUUCUAUAAAAUGGUAUGAUUUUGAAUCAGGUACCAUUAAAAAAAUAUGUACAAGCAUGUACUUGAAAAUAUUAUAUAUUAAUUACAUGUAUAUCAUAUAUACUUGUUUGCAUGUACAAAAUCAAAACAUAACAUUAAUAUACCAUAAAAUCACAAGAUGAAAUAUAAUAUCUUCUAUUCUGAUGAAGAUGGAACAAAUUAAUUAUCUUUUGGACAUAUGGUAUCUUAUCUUGAAAAAAAAAUACUAGAACAAGGAAAACAAUAUUGUCACUGCAUUACAUACGUAUUACAUUUAUUUUAUCAAAAAAUACAUUCAUGCCUUGUUUAAAAAGUAAAAAAAAAACUGAACUCCGAAGAAAAUUCUAAAUGAAAAGUUCCUCAAGCAAAUGGCAAAAUCAAAAGCUCAAACACAUUAAACGAAAGGAUAACAACUGUCAUAUUCCUGACUUGUUACAGGCAUUUUCUUAGGCAGAAAAGUGUUGGUUAAACCUGGUUUUAUAGCUGGCUACAUGUACUUUUACUUGUAUGGAAGUCGCUUAAAAUUCCAUUAUAUUGACAACGAUGUGUGAACAACACUUUUUUAAAAAGUU